UGAAGAAAUUGAUCAAGCUUAUGGCAUAGA
RNAcentral lists this non-coding RNA (30 nucleotides) under Mus musculus (house mouse). Lineage: Eukaryota; Metazoa; Chordata; Mammalia; Rodentia; Muridae. The record is from RNAcentral.